AGAGUUUGAUCAUGGCUCAGAACGAACGCUGGCGGCAGGCCUAACACAUGCAAGUCGAGCGGGGACUUCGGUCCUAGCGGCGGACGGGUGAGUAACGCGUGGGAACGUGCCCUUUGCUUCGGAAUAGCCCCUGGAAACGGGGAGUAAUACCGGAUGUGCCCUUUGGGGGAAAGAUUUAUCGGCAAAGGAUCGGCCCGCGUUGGAUUAGGUAGUUGGUGGGGUAAUGGCCUACCAAGCCGACGAUCCAUAGCUGGUUUGAGAGGAUGAUCAGCCACACUGGGACUGAGACACGGCCCAGACUCCUACGGGAGGCAGCAGUGGGAAUCUUAGACAAUGGGCGCAAGCCUGAUCUAGCCAUGCCGCGUGAGCGAUGAAGGCCUUAGGGUUGUAAAGCUCUUUCGUGGGGGAAGAUAAUGACGGUACCCCAAGAAGAAGCCCCGGCUAACUCCGUG
Molecule: ribosomal RNA, 452 nt
Filed under: uncultured bacterium
Lineage: Bacteria
Description: bacterial SSU rRNA
Rfam family: Bacterial small subunit ribosomal RNA
Source: RNAcentral